Molecule: transfer RNA, 75 nt
Filed under: Candidatus Pacearchaeota archaeon
Lineage: Archaea; Nanobdellati
Description: tRNA-Pro
Rfam family: tRNA
About the family: Transfer RNA (tRNA) molecules are approximately 80 nucleotides in length.
Source: RNAcentral
GGGGUCGUAGUCCAGCUUGGUCUAAGAUUCGAGGUUUGGGACCUCGCGACGCAGGUUCAAAUCCUGCCGACCCCA